Molecule: non-coding RNA, 476 nt
Organism: Macaca mulatta (Rhesus monkey)
Lineage: Eukaryota; Metazoa; Chordata; Mammalia; Primates; Cercopithecidae
Source: RefSeq, a predicted model, not a curated record
AGAUUACUGACCCUUCAUAGACUGGCAGCUCUUUAAAUUAAGAUGACUCCUAAGAGAAAAGGAUGGAACGUGGCAAAGUUCACGAGAAGGAGCAAACAGUAUUUGAAGACCUCUUUGAAAAGUCUCCCCAGGAGCAGGAAGAUAGGCGCCCGCUGUACCAGUCAAAGACACCACCCUACUGUGAUGUUAAUAAGAUGAAGGGUACUAGUACAAAAAGCCACAGUAAUUAUAGGAAGAGAACUCCAUCCCAUUGCCUUCCUGAGAUGCUGGACCACUGUGGGCAGCUGCCCUUGGAAGAAGCAUGCCACUGUCUCCUUCAAACCCCUCAAAGUCUCAGCUUCUCUCAUACUUUUGGAAAUUCUCAAGAUUGAAUAGAGUGAGGUUCUUCUUCAGUAUCAUUAGUUCUUUCUACACCACAGAAGAAAUUCUAAUCUGAACAUAAACAUAUUUUGGAUUAAUAAAUUCUUCUAAAAGUA